CGACUGCUAAUACCGGAUGUGCCGGAAGGUGAAAGAUUUAUCGCCUGAAGAUAAGCUCGCGUCUGAUUAGCUAGUUGGUGGUGUAAGGGACUACCAAGGCGACGAUCAGUAGCUGGUCUGAGAGGAUGAUCAGCCACACUGGGACUGAGACACGGCCCAGACUCCUACGGGAGGCAGCAGUGGGGAAUUUUCCGCAAUGGGCGAAAGCCUGACGGAGCAAUACCGCGUGAGGGAGGAAGGCUCUUGGGUCGUAAACCUCUUUUCUCAAGGAAGAAUGCAAUGACGGUACUUGAGGAAUAAGCAUCGGCUAACUCCGUGCCAGCAGCCGCGGUAAUACGGAGGAUGCAAGCGUUAUCCGGAAUGAUUGGGCGUAAAGGGUCUGUAGGUGGUACUGAAAGUCUGCUGUUAAAGAGCAAGGCUCAACCUUGUAAGAGCAGUGGAAACUACAGAACUGGAGUGCGGUAGGGGCAAAAGGAAUUCCUGGUGUAGCGGUGAAAUGCGUAGAUAUCAGGAAGAACACCGGUGGCGAAAGCGUUUUGCUAGACCGCAACUGACACUGAGGGACGAAAGCUAGGGGAGCGAAUGGGAUUAGAUACCCCAGUAGUC
This 606-nucleotide ribosomal RNA is filed under the name uncultured cyanobacterium. RNAcentral's name for it is "bacterial SSU rRNA". It matches the Rfam family "Bacterial small subunit ribosomal RNA", at positions 157 to 795 of the family's 1533-position model. Lineage: Bacteria; Bacillati; Cyanobacteriota. The record is from RNAcentral.